This is a non-coding RNA of Coturnix japonica (Japanese quail), 2292 nucleotides long. NCBI's taxonomy places the organism in Eukaryota, Metazoa, Chordata, Aves, Galliformes, Phasianidae. The record is from RefSeq and is a predicted model, not a curated record.
GAGCGCCCUGCGGCAGCGGGCGGCGUGGGGCUGGCGGCGCUCCAGGCGGGGGGAUGGGGGAGGACAAAGGCAGCGCAUCCUGCGGGCUGGGCACCUAUAAAUAACGCUGCCCGCCCCUCAGCCUGCCUCCCUUCCCCCAGCCGGUUUUAUAAAUACCAAAGGCUGAAAGCAGCCUAAAUGCAGAGGGUGGGGGGGAUAAAAAAAAAGAGGAACAAACACCACCUCCCAACUGUAAAAUGGGGGGUGGGGGGGGGGAAAGAAGGCAAGCUAAUGAGCAGUUGGAGCCAACGUGCCGGGGGAGCGCUCCCCGCUGCCGUCACAUGGCUCGGCGUUAUUUUCCUCCUUCUCCCCCCACCGCCGGUGCUGCGGAGCCGCGGAUGGCGGGGAGGAGCCCCGCGGCCUCCCCGGCCCUGAGCCCCGGGUCCUGCCGAGCUGCUCCCUCAAAUCAGAUAGCAAAGCCCUGCUUCGGCGGGCGGAAGGCACACAAAGCCCACCUAGAGGGGUGCUUGGGCCAGGCCAUGCAGCCCAGCGGUGGGAGGGAUGAGUUACUGGCGCUGCUGUACCUCGGUCUGCUCGAGCGAAUGCUGCGUUCCAGAUCCCUGCCCCAUGAUGCUGUGUGCAGGCUGAUAUCUGCAGAUUUCAUGCUCCCAUUGCAGAUUUGCAGAUCUCCCCUCGGGUCCAGACUCACCAACCCUAUAAACAUUGCUUCUCUGUCUCCAGUUUUUCACCGUCUGGAUCAGGGCAUCCAGAGCAGGGCGGAGCAUUCAGCAGCGAUCCCACCCGUGCCAGCAGUGCUGAGGUUUCUGUUACGCGCCCAGGGAUUACUCCCGGUGCUCAGCUGGUUUUCCUGCUCUGCUCCUCAGAUGCCAUCCAGCUUGCUCCUCCCGUGGGACUGCAUCUGUCUCUGAGCAGCCUGACGCUUGGCUUUUAAGGGCAGUCCUUAGGCAGUGCUGCUGCUUGCAAUGGCCUUUAUUUACACAUCCUGCUGUUGCUCUUCCGUGUCACCCACAGGCCUGACUGGUAAAUAUUUUAUGUUUUCUUACAGUUCAUUGACAAACACCGUUUCUGUCUCUGCUGUAGGAGUGUCCCAGUUCCAGGUGUGUGCGUGCCUCAGUUUUGUCAACACUGAGUCAGGAGAUCUGAUCUACGCCAUGUCCCACCACACCCAUCCAUGGGAGGAAGCCCGGUGCGGGAGCUGGCGGGGAGCCACAGGGCACACUGCAACGUGUGCCUGCUCCGUAUCAGAGCCAUUAAAUAGUGUGGGGCCCAGACCAGGUAGUUACAGCACCCAUAAAAGAAAGAUAACAGCUCUAAGAUGCAGCAUUGACAACUGCGCUUUGAGAUAUUCCUAUUGGAUGGAUUCUAUUCCAUGUGAUUCUGCCGUCUUGAUCUUAUAUUCUCAUAAUGAUGUAAAUGCUUCACAAGGGUUGGAGUACAGCUCUCUUCUAGAUGUUCCCUACUAGUGAUACAUUUAUCACCCAACUUCUGUUUCUCUCUCAGCAGCUGAACUCACAAAGCUGCUUCACCUGUGCAUUCACAGACAAAUCCCUGCAGACCCCUUCCAGUUCCUUCCCUGUUUGGCUGGGCAAGGAGACAGCAUUGCCCCUGGGGGGAGCUGACACUACCUGCCUAUCUGCCAGGGCACAGUGCUGCCUCUGCUGCAUGCUCUGCUCAGCUGUUCCUUUGGGAUUUCUUCCCCACUGACCAUUUUGACUGAGGUUGGAGGAGGGAGGGGAAAAAUGACAGAGAACUUUUAGGAAACCAGGCUAAAAAUAUCAAAGGACAUUUGCCUGUUCAGGGUUUUUGGGGUUGGCUUAUUUGGGGUUUUUUGGUGUUUUGUUUUGUUUUCCUGUUUUUAACCUUUUCCUAAGUAUGGCACAUCAUACAGGCAAGGAAUUUCUCUGCCAAAAUACGCAGCUCCUGACGGAUUUUACCUGUGUUCCAGCAUGCUGUGCAGAUGCAUGGGCUGCAUGCACAUGGGCUGUGUGUGCUGCAUAAUGAUGGGGAACCACCGUUCUGCUGGGUGGUUGUGCCUGAGUACAAAGAGAGAUAUCAUCAUAUGCAACAGGGGAACAAACAUUUCUUUUGUUUAAGAUCCAUACAAGUUUUGAUGGACACGUUGGGCAUUUGCCAGGGCUGGCUUUUUUCUUAUCCUUUUAAACUACAUCUGUUCAUUUUCUUUCUGGUAGUAUUAUGACAAAGCCACCUCUGUAAAAUAGGUGGCUCGUGCUUUCAGAGAUCUAAUCAUUCUUGAGCUCUUAAAGAAUAAAAAAAGCUGUUUCAAAAUCUGAA